RNAcentral lists this ribosomal RNA (494 nucleotides) under uncultured bacterium. Its description in RNAcentral is "partial 16S ribosomal RNA". It matches the Rfam family "Bacterial small subunit ribosomal RNA", at positions 28 to 523 of the family's 1533-position model. The record is from RNAcentral.
GAUGAACGCUAGCGGCAGGCUUAACACAUGCAAGUCGAGGGGUAGAAGUCUUCGGACUUUGAGACCGGCGCACGGGUGCGUAACGCGUAUGCAAUCUGCCUUGUACAAAGGGAUAGCCCAGAGAAAUUUGGAUUAAUACCUUAUAGUAUAUAGAUGUGGCAUCACAAUUAUAUUAAAGAUUUAUCGGUACAAGAUGAGCAUGCGUCCCAUUAGCUAGUUGGUACGGUAACGGAAUACCAAGGCAAUGAUGGGUAGGGGCCCUGAGAGGGAGAUCCCCCACGCGUGUACUGGAACACGAACCAAACUCCGUCGGGAGGGAGCAUUGAGGAUUAUUGGUCAAGGGGCGCACGCCUGAACCCGCCAUGCCGCGUGCAGGAUGAAGCAGUUAUGGUGUGUAAACUGCUUUUGUACGGGAAGAAACACCUCUUCGUGAAGAGGCUUGACGGUACCGUAAGAAUAAGGAUCGGCUAACUCCGUGCCAGCCGCCGCGGUAA